Molecule: long non-coding RNA, 390 nt
Organism: Adelges cooleyi (spruce gall adelgid)
Lineage: Eukaryota; Metazoa; Arthropoda; Insecta; Hemiptera; Adelgidae
Exons: 3
Source: RefSeq, a predicted model, not a curated record
UUUUUAAAUGACACGGCUUGGUCCUAUACAAAAACGAACCGGACGAACACUUUAGUCACCGGUAAUGGCCUCAGGUGCAAAUUCCUCGUCAAAGCCGUUAAAAAGCCAAACUUAUUGGACGACUACAGCAAGACGGAACCCUCAAACCUUCAGCGUGAAACAGUUUAUUUAUGUGAGCACUAGUCGGCCGUAGCGGAUAAAUACAGAAAAAGCGAUAAUAGAUUGCUAUCGCUUUGGUUGGACAUUGGUACCGCCACGGGUGGAUCUCGGCUUCAACACGAAUAUACUCACGACGACUAUGUUUAUGCCGUGCUAUCAGCAAACGUUGUCAACUUUACCAUCGUCGAUAAAAACCAAUACGUCGAAAUUACAUUGUUAGUAGAAGGCGUA